Molecule: ribosomal RNA, 449 nt
Filed under: uncultured bacterium
Lineage: Bacteria
Description: bacterial SSU rRNA
Rfam family: Bacterial small subunit ribosomal RNA
Source: RNAcentral
UUGCCAGACUCCUACGGGAGGCAGCAGUGGGGGAUAUUGCACAAUGGGGGAAACCCUGAUGCAGCGACGCCGCGUGUGGGAAGACGGUCCUCUGGAUUGUAAACCACUGUCCCCAGGGACGAAGAUGACGGUACCUGGGGAGGAAGCUCCGGCUAACUACGUGCCAGCAGCCGCGGUAAUACGUAGGUGGCAAGCGUUGUCCGGAUUUACUGGGUGUAAAGGGCGUGUAGCCGGGCUGACAAGUCAGAUGUGAAAUCCGGGGGCUCAACCCCCGAACUGCAUUUGAAACUGUUGGUCUUGAGUAUCGGAGAGGCAGGCGGAAUUCCUAGUGUAGCGGUGAAAUGCGUAGAUAUUAGGAGGAACACCAGUGGCGAAGGCGGCCUGCUGGACGACAACUGACGGUGAGGCGCGAAAGCGUGGGGAGCAAACAGGAUUAGAUACCCCAGUAA